RNAcentral lists this ribosomal RNA (521 nucleotides) under uncultured bacterium. RNAcentral describes it as "bacterial SSU rRNA". It matches the Rfam family "Archaeal small subunit ribosomal RNA", at positions 345 to 866 of the family's 1478-position model. The record is from RNAcentral.
AACCUCCGCAAUGUGAGAAAUCGCGACGGGGGGAUCCCAAGUGCCAUUCUUAACGGGAUGGCUUUUCAUUAGUGUAAAGAGCUUUUGGAAUAAGAGCUGGGCAAGACCGGUGCCAGCCGCCGCGGUAACACCGACAGCUCUAGUGGUAGCAAUUUUUAUUGGGCCUAAAGCGUCCGUAGCCGGUUUAAUAAGUCUCUGGUGAAAUCCUGUAGCUUAACUGUGGGAAUUGCUGGAGAUACUAUUAGACUUGAGACCGGGAGAGGUUAGAGGUACUCCCAGGGUAGAGGUGAAAUUCUGUAAUCCUGGGAGGACCGCCUGUUGCGAAGGCGUCUAACUGGAACGGUUCUGACGGUGAGGGACGAAAGUUAGGGGCGCGAACCGGAUUAGAUACCCGGGUAGUCCUAACUGUAAACGAUGCGGACUUGGUGUUGGGGUGGCUUUGAGCUGUCUCAGUGCCGAAGGGAAGCUGUUAAGUCCGCCGCCUGGGAAGUACGGUCGCAAGACUGAAACUUAAAGGAAUU